GGAUCGGUAUGUUGGUCGUGCUUCGGUACGUACUGUCAUUACCGGUUUCUACCUUCUGAAGAACCGCGAUGUCAUUAAUUUGGUGUCGUGGGGAAUCAGGACUGUUACUUUGAAAAAAUUAGAGUGUUCAAAGCAGGCUGUUUACAGCUUGAAUAUCUUAGCAUGGAAUAAUAGAAUAGG
Molecule: ribosomal RNA, 180 nt
Filed under: uncultured Glomeromycotina
Lineage: Eukaryota; Fungi; Glomeromycota
Description: partial small subunit ribosomal RNA
Rfam family: Eukaryotic small subunit ribosomal RNA (bases 46-180)
Source: RNAcentral